RNAcentral lists this ribosomal RNA (495 nucleotides) under uncultured bacterium. RNAcentral's name for it is "partial 16S ribosomal RNA". It matches the Rfam family "Bacterial small subunit ribosomal RNA", at positions 28 to 507 of the family's 1533-position model. The record is from RNAcentral.
GAUGAACGCUGGCGGCGUGCCUAAUACAUGCAAGUAGAACGCUGAAGGAGGAGCUUGCUCUUCUGGAUGAGUUGCGAACGGGUGAGUAACGCGUAGGUAACCUGCCUGGUAGCGGGGGAUAACUAUUGGAAACGAUAGCUAAUACCGCAUGACAACAGUUAUUGCAUGAUAACUGUUUAAAAGGGGCAACUGCUCCACUACCAGAUGGACCUGCGUUGUAUUAGCUAGUUGGUGUGGUAACGGCUCACCAAGGCGACGAUACAUAGCCGACCUGAGAGGGUGAUCGGCCACACUGGGACUGAGACACGGCCCAGACGCCUACGGGAGGCAGCAGUAGGGAAACUUCGGCAAUGGACGGAAGUCUGACCGAGCAACGCCGCGUGAGUGAAGAAGGUUGUCGGAUCGGAAGGCUCGGUUGUAAGAGAAGAACGAGUGUGAGAGUGGAAAGUUCACACUGUGACGGUAGCUGACCAGAAAGGGACGGCUAACUACGUG